RNAcentral lists this ribosomal RNA (256 nucleotides) under uncultured bacterium. Its description in RNAcentral is "partial 16S ribosomal RNA". It matches the Rfam family "Bacterial small subunit ribosomal RNA", at positions 524 to 776 of the family's 1533-position model. The record is from RNAcentral.
GACGAAGGAUGCAAGCGUUAUCCGGAUUCAUUGGGUUUAAAGGGAGCGUAGGUGGCCUUAUAAGUCAGCGGUGAAAUCUCUGGGCUUAACCCAGAAAUUGCCAUUGAUACUGUAGGGCUUGAGUACAGUUGCUGUGGGCGGAAUAUGACAUGUAGUGGUGAAAUACAUAGAGAUGUCAUAGAACACCGAUUGCGAAGGCAGCUCACAAAAACUGUAACUGACACUGAGGACUCGAAAAGUGCGGGGAUCAAACAGG